UAUUGCCCAGGCUUGUCUUGAACGCCGGGGAUCAGGUCCUCCACCUUGCCCUCCAGAGUUCCGGAGACCCCAGGCUUGAGCUGCAGUACCCCAACCUGCUGACACCUUGAUGUUUGUCCAGUGAAAGUCACUUUGAACCUCUGACCUUCAGAACUGUGAGAAGAAAGGCAGGCACAGAAACUGAUCUCCCCCAGCCCACAGAACUUCUCCGACCCACCCUGUUCCACACAGGUGAGGAGAGCCCCGUUCAGAGGGCCUGCCUGCGCACAGAAGGAAGGGCUGCUGAGGAAGCCAGACGGCCUCGCCGGUCCGGUCCCCGCUCCCCACUCCGUCUGUGUGCGUCCUGUGCCGUCUCAGACCCAGCGGACAGCGCUGGAGACAGCAGGGCAGCCACAGGCCUGGACUGUUGGCAACCGUAAUAACGAAAAUCCUGAAGCAUGAGAUGAAAAGCCCGCCCAGAGGUUGUAAAUGGAAGCUGGAUGCACUUCACUGGCUCUGCUGGGCAGUAACUUGUUGUCAACAAACUUAGGGAAGCACUUUCUGCAAUUAGGGAAGCACUUUCUGCAAUUAAUACCUUAACUGUCAUUAACGGCUCUGUUUUCUCCAGGCCAGUCAAAGACCGGCCUUGGGCCUGGAUAAACUGGUUCUGAGAAAUGAAAAGCACCGAGCUCAGGGCGGAAUCCUUUUCACUGCUCAAGGUGAAUUAAAACCUUGAACUCAGAAGCCACAGUGAGAGACUUCAUCUAAUGUGUCAGAAGUGACUGGAGCCUUGCAGCCUCUCAUACCAAGUAAAUGAGCAGAACUUGUUCCAGGGCUCGGGCCGCAGGCCCUCAGAAGUACCUGGCAUUUGCUGGCUCUCAGCCCUUUCUGGGGUCUCUGACCCACUGUCCUCAUCUCAGCAGCCCUGGGAGGCCGGAUCAGGAGGGAGGGCUCCUGUUCAACCCCAGGACUGGGGCUCACAGACAGCUGCUCCCUUCCUGCCCAGCCGGACUAAGCCUGAGCCACAGGCUCUUCAGCAGAGCGGCAUCUCCCGGCAUCACCCAGCACCCGGGCCCCAGCGGGCAGAAGCACCCCGGGCUCGCCUUGCUGCGUGGAGGCGGGAUCAAUGAGGCCACCGUGGGCCAGCACUUUACCUUCUUCUGCAUCUAGGACAGCUCUGGAGGAAGGGAGGCUCCUCCUGCAGGUGUCAGUGGCCCACUACGUGCAGAGCGGGGGACCCCCACUGCGCAGCCAGCAUCUCCCAGGACACCGUGUACUUAGCCCAGAUUAGGGGGACCCACUCCUGUUGUUUCACCUCUGGGGUGUGCUAGGGGCCACUCAGUGCAGGGACGAGGGGACAAGGACAGUGCCGAGCUCCAGACAGCACGACGGCUGCCUUCCCCACACCAAUGGCAGGCAGGUCUUCCAACCUCACAG
Molecule: long non-coding RNA, 1416 nt
Organism: Fukomys damarensis (Damara mole-rat)
Lineage: Eukaryota; Metazoa; Chordata; Mammalia; Rodentia; Bathyergidae
Exons: 3
Source: RefSeq, a predicted model, not a curated record